This 253-nucleotide ribosomal RNA is filed under the name uncultured bacterium. RNAcentral's name for it is "partial 16S ribosomal RNA". It matches the Rfam family "Bacterial small subunit ribosomal RNA", at positions 524 to 776 of the family's 1533-position model. The record is from RNAcentral.
UACGUAGGGUGCGAGCGUUGCCCGGAUUUAUUGGGCGUAAAGGGCGCGUAGGCGGCCACGCACGUCCGUUGUGAAAUCGCCCGGCUCAACUGGGCGGGGUCAGCGGAUACGGUGUGGCUCGAGCAAGCUAGGGGGCAAUGGAAUUCCCGGUGUAGUGGUGGAAUGCGUAGAUAUCGGGAGGAACACCUGUGGCGAAAGCGGCGCACUGGACCACAACUGACGCUGAGGCGCGAAAGCUAGGGGAGCAAACAGG